This 253-nucleotide ribosomal RNA is filed under the name uncultured bacterium. RNAcentral's name for it is "partial 16S ribosomal RNA". It matches the Rfam family "Bacterial small subunit ribosomal RNA", at positions 524 to 776 of the family's 1533-position model. The record is from RNAcentral.
UACAGAGGGGGCAAGCGUUGUUCGGAAUUACUGGGCGUAAAGGGCGCGUAGGCGGCCGCUUAAGUCGAACGUGAAAUCCCCGGGCUCAACCCGGGAACUGCGUCCGAUACUGGGGGGCUUGAAUUCGGGAGAGGGAUGCGGAAUUCCAGGUGUAGCGGUGAAAUGCGUAGAUAUCUGGAGGAACACCGGUGGCGAAGGCGGCAUCCUGGACCGAGAUUGACGCUGAGGCGCGAAAGCCAGGGGAGCAAACGGG